RNAcentral lists this transfer RNA (78 nucleotides) under Nitrososphaerota archaeon. RNAcentral's name for it is "tRNA-Met". It matches the Rfam family "tRNA". From Rfam's summary of the family: Transfer RNA (tRNA) molecules are approximately 80 nucleotides in length. Lineage: Archaea; Thermoproteati; Nitrososphaerota. RNAcentral also lists the same sequence under 3 other names. The record is from RNAcentral.
AGCGGGGUGGGGUAGUCAGGUUAUCCCGCGGGGCUCAUAACCCCGAGAUCGGUGGUUCAAAUCCACCCCCCGCUACCA